CAUGGCUGUACCCAAACACCCCUGACAUGGAGGGGAGGAAGCUGCUGCUGCCAGCACAUGACUCACUGUUAGUGCAGCUCUGCCCAAGGAGGGGACUCCCACUGCUCCCCUCCUGGCUCCUGAGCAAUUCUGGAGCCCAAACAGAGCUCCCUGACCACGUUUUCUGGAUUUCUCUUCUCCCAGCGAAGAUGGAUAAGUGUUCCUUUGCUCUGCUGACUCCCAGCUUCCUUAACAGCUGCACUCCACUUUUGAGGCCUCUUAAAUUCUCGCUGCUCUCUGUGACAGGACUGGGCUGCUCUGGACCAUUUCAGGAUUAAGGACUUUCCAUCUAGUAUCAAAAAGUUAUUUUUUUCUAAGGAAAAGCCGUAAAUCUUUAUUAAAUCCCAUAUAUUUUCAC
RNAcentral lists this long non-coding RNA (397 nucleotides) under Gallus gallus (chicken). RNAcentral's name for it is "long non-coding RNA NONGGAT008285". The record is from RNAcentral. Lineage: Eukaryota; Metazoa; Chordata; Aves; Galliformes; Phasianidae.